Mus musculus (house mouse) is the source of this 2446-nucleotide long non-coding RNA. RefSeq annotates it as predicted gene 13794. NCBI's taxonomy places the organism in Eukaryota, Metazoa, Chordata, Mammalia, Rodentia, Muridae. The transcript has 6 exons. The record is from RefSeq and is a predicted model, not a curated record.
AGUUAGAGUUUGAACCAAAACAGCUGAGUUGAACCAGCCAGAGUUCAGGAAGAGUAAGCAAGAAAGGAAAACCACCACUGGAAAAAAUGAAAGGACAACUGAAUAAGAAAGUACCAUGGUAUUUUCUUUGAAAUUGUAUCUUCUGUAUAGCACAAGGAAGUUACGAAUGUGAAAGGUCAUCAAUAUGAUUGCCUCAGCAAAACCACAUCAAAGACCAUACCAACUGACAUGCUAACACAGGGAGCUUGAAGUGCCUUGUAGAUGUUAUCACAUGAAUCCUCUUGCUGUCCCAGUGAGGCCAGGAACAAAUAGUCUGCCAUCCUGAAGAACAGACUGAGAAAGCAGUUAUCAGGGAACAUAGGAUACACAGCAGUCUCCAUGAAGGAUGAAUGCAGUGCAUAUUGUUGCAGUGGUUUGCGAAAGCUCACAUCCUAGCAGCAUCAUUUGGAUGGAUGGAGGGGAGAGAUCUGGUGGAAUUUUUCAAAUGUUCUGAACUGACUUCUUCAAUACCAGGAGGAACUUAGCCAAGCAAGCCCAGCUACAAGUAUGUGCCACUGAUAUUUCUUCCUGAAGCCAACCUAAAAUCUGCAGAGGGGGAGAAUCCUGCAUACCCAUGGUCCUCAUAUGAAGAAAAUGAUGGUUCUUAUUUUUCUACACUACAGACUGUUGCCUGUUCAAGAUGCUUCUUUGUAACAUAACUCUCUUCAAUGCUAGGUAUGAGUUCUUCAUAUGUUUUAUGGUAUAGUUGCCUCAAACUACCUGUGGCUGUGGAGCACAUAAAACAGGGUUAUUAGAGCGAGUCAAAUUUUAAAUUCAAUCUUACUUAAAUUAAUUUAAAUAAUGUAUCAGGAACUUCUUUUGUAUUAAAUAUGUUUAAUUUGUCCCCAAAUGUGCAACAAUGCAAAAGACCUGAUUAGCAGCAUACUUGUGACUUGUAACGCCAAUGUGAAAGGCUUCGACAGUAUACUUCUAAGAAAAGGUUCUUCCAUUCAGCAAUAUACUAAUAAAUUAAUCCACAGAAUUUUGUGAAUGAGCCUAAUAAUCCAUCUUUCUUUGGUGAAGUUAUUACUUCAUCAUGUGAGUCUACUGUACAUUUAAAAAUAUGUUUGCACAUAAAUACAUACUUAGAUUGUUUAUAAUUUUGGCUUACUGUGUUAAACUUUAAGCAUUUUUCUAUAGACCUUAGAAACCUUACACUUUUAUUUAUCUCUAGUAUAGAAUUAUCUAGAAUUGCUGGACCAUAGGAAUUUUAAGUGUGUAGAAUAAUAAGAAUGUGGUCAAAAACGUUUCCCACAGUUUGAUCACUGUACUUCACCACCCAUCCCUCGAGAUUUCCUGCUGCCCCACACCUUGGCAAGUCUUUGGCUUCUGCUGUUCUUUCCUUUUUUGUUCCUUGUAGUUCUUACAAUAUAAGUUGUAUUUCCCUGGUUCUAACAAUACUGACAAUUUUUAUCUAUUUUUGCUUCUCUCAUAGAGUUAUUAUUCACAGACACUCUUUCUCACAAGUUACCUUGUGUUUGUACACAAGUUUUAGGUAGUCUCUGUUCCAGACAGCACAUAGAUCCUGGAAGUAUUUCUCCCAGCAUGUGGCUACUCCCUUCAUGUUCGUAAUGAUGCCUUAAAUGGAAAGUGUUUAAUUUUGAUGAAGUCUUAUUUAUCAACUUGCCAUUUUAUGGUUAUUGCUACAAGCAACCUAUUUUUGCCUAUUUCCACAUUGUGAAGACAUUCUCUUUUGUUUUAUUUCUGAAGCUUAUGUUAUUUAUUUAACUUGUGGACCUUUAAGCCACUAUUUUAAAAAGUGUGUGCACAUUACACAAGGCAGGAAAUUAGAUUAGUUUUAAUAUAGAUGAUCAGUUAUUUUUGCAUUAUAUGAUAUUUCUGUGCCUUGUUCAAAAUAAAUAGUUGUGAGUAUGUAGGUCUGAAACUGGAAUUUAUUUUUGUUGCAAUGUUUUAUAUCCAUUUUCGGCAUAAGUAUGGUAUUAUAUUGAUUAUUCUACAUCAUUAAAUCAUCGUCAAAUUUUGUUAUGCUUCCUUCAAUUUUUCAAAUGUUUUUCAACAUUGUUGCAGAUAGUUGUUUUACUUUUAUACCAAUUUAUCUUUUUGAUUCAUCUUAUAGCUAUCUAGAAAGUAGAUGGAUACAAUUCUGUAAAUAUUAUUGGGGAUAAAUUAAUAUGUAACAAUAUUAAUAAUAAGCCUAUGGCCUGUUCAUAUUUUGUAUAGUUUCACUUCUUUUAAUGUUUUUAUUUUUCCAUAACAAAAAUUAGUUUUGAGUAUAGAGGUCUUAAUAAUUUUUAGAGGUUUUAGUAUGGAUUCAUUUUUUGUAAGUUUAUUAUAUGUGGACUUCUUUUUUAUUUAAUUUUAAUUACUUACUGUUAAUAUAAAAUGAAAAUAUUGUAGAUCGUCUUUCUGUUUUGUAAACUUAAUAAAUUAGCUUCUGUUAGUUCUG